AUUGAACGCUGGCGGCAGGCCUAACACAUGCAAGUCGAGCGGCAGCACAAGGGAGUUUACUCCUGAGGUGGCGAGCGGCGGACGGGUGAGUAAUGCCUAGGGAUCUGCCCAGUCGAGGGGGAUAACAGUUGGAAACGACUGCUAAUACCGCAUACGCCCUACGGGGGAAAGAGGGGGACCUUCGGGCCUCUCGCGAUUGGAUGAACCUAGGUGGGAUUAGCUAGUUGGUGAGGUAAUGGCUCACCAAGGCGACGAUCCCUAGCUGUUCUGAGAGGAUGAUCAGCCACACUGGGACUGAGACACGGCCCAGACUCCUACGGGAGGCAGCAGUGGGGAAUAUUGCACAAUGGGGGAAACCCUGAUGCAGCCAUGCCGCGUGUGUGAAGAAGGCCUUCGGGUUGUAAAGCACUUUCAGUAGGGAGGAAAGGGUGUAGUUUAAUACGCUAUAUCUGUGACGUUACCUACAGAAGAAGGACCGGCUAACUCCGUGCCAGCAGCCGCGGUAAUACGGAGGGUCCGAGCGUUAAUCGGAAUUACUGGGCGUAAAGCGUGCGCAGGCG
This 560-nucleotide ribosomal RNA is filed under the name uncultured bacterium. RNAcentral's name for it is "bacterial SSU rRNA". It matches the Rfam family "Bacterial small subunit ribosomal RNA", at positions 28 to 577 of the family's 1533-position model. The record is from RNAcentral.